UGGGGAAUAUUGCACAAUGGGCGCAAGCCUGAUGCAGCAACGCCGCGUGAACGAUGAAGGUCUUCGGAUCGUAAAGUUCUGUUGCAGGGGAAGAUAAUGACGGUACCCUGUGAGGAAGCCCCGGCUAACUACGUGCCAGCAGCCGCGGUAAUACGUAGGGGGCUAGCGUUAUCCGGAUUUACUGGGCGUAAAGGGUGCGUAGGUGGUCUUUCAAGUCGGUGGUUAAAGGCUACGGCUCAACCGUAGUUAGCCUCCGAAACUGGAAGACUUGAGUGCAGGAGAGGAAAGUGGAAUUCCCAGUGUAGCGGUGAAAUGCGUAGAUAUUGGGAGGAACACCAGUGGCGAAGGCGGCUUUCUGGACUGCAACUGACACUGAGGCACGAAAGCGUGGGUAGCAAACAGG
This 403-nucleotide ribosomal RNA is filed under the name Actinomycetes bacterium. RNAcentral describes it as "Actinobacteria bacterium partial 16S ribosomal RNA". It matches the Rfam family "Bacterial small subunit ribosomal RNA", at positions 355 to 776 of the family's 1533-position model. The record is from RNAcentral. Lineage: Bacteria; Bacillati; Actinomycetota; Actinomycetes. RNAcentral also lists the same sequence under 1 other name.